CAGCCGCCACGGGAAUACGAAGGGUGCAAGCGUUAAUCGGAAUUACUGGGCGUAAAGCGUGCGUAGGCGGUGAGUUAAGUCUGCUGUGAAAUCCCCGGGCUCAACCUGGGAAUGGCAGUGGAUACUGGCUCGCUAGAGUGUGUCAGAGGAUGGUGGAAUUCCCGGUGUAGCGGUGAAAUGCGUAGAAAUCGGGAGGAACAUCAGUGGCGAAGGCGGCCAUCUGGGACAACACUGACGCUGAGGCACGAAAGCGUGGGGAGCAAACAGGAUUAGAUACCCCCGUAGUCCCUGUCUCUUAUAC
Molecule: ribosomal RNA, 301 nt
Filed under: uncultured bacterium
Lineage: Bacteria
Description: partial 16S ribosomal RNA
Rfam family: Bacterial small subunit ribosomal RNA
Source: RNAcentral